UUAANUUCGGGGUGGCAGGCGAUACGGGCAUAACUAGAGUGCUGUAGGGGAGACUGGAAUUCCUGGUGUAGCGGUGGAAUGCGCAGAUAUCAGGAGGAACACCGAUGGCGAAGGCAGGUCUCUGGGCAGUAACUGACGCUGAGGAGCGAAAGCAUGGGGAGCGAACAGGAUUAGAUACCCUGGUAGUCCAUGCUGUAAACGGUGGGCGUUAGGUGUGGGGACCGGUUUGGUUUCUGUGCCGUAGCUAACGCAUUAAGCGCCCCGCCUGGGGAGUACGGCCGCAAGGCUAAAACUCAAAGGAAUUGACGGGGGCCCGCACAAGCGGCGGAGCAUGUGGAUUAAUUCGAUGCAACGCGAAGAACCUUACCUGGGUUUGACAUGCACCAGACGGUUGUAGAGAUACGUACCUCCCUUUGUGGUUGGUGUGCAGGUGGUGCAUGGUUGUCGUCAGCUCGUGUCGUGAGAUGUUGGGUUAAGUCCCGCAACGAGCGCAACCCUUGUCUUAUGUUGCCAGCACCUUGGGUGGGGACUCAUGAGAGACUGCCGGGGUUAACUCGGAGGAAGGUGGGGAUGACGUCAAAUCAUCAUGCCCUUUAUGCCCAGGGCUUCACACAUGCUACAAUGGUUAGUACAACGCGCUGCGAACCUGUGAGGGUGAGCGAAUCGCUGAAAGCUAAUCUCAGUUCGGAUUGGGGUCUGCAACUCGACCCCAUGAAGUCGGAGUCGCUAGUAAUCGCAGGUCAGCAAUGCUGCGGUGAAUACGUUCCCGGGCCUUGUACACACCGCCCGUCACGUCAUGAAAGUUGGUAACACCCGAAGCCCAUGGCCUAACCACCAU
RNAcentral lists this ribosomal RNA (838 nucleotides) under uncultured bacterium. RNAcentral's name for it is "bacterial SSU rRNA". It matches the Rfam family "Bacterial small subunit ribosomal RNA", at positions 609 to 1444 of the family's 1533-position model. The record is from RNAcentral.